Molecule: non-coding RNA, 121 nt
Organism: Methanococcoides burtonii DSM 6242
Lineage: Archaea; Methanobacteriati; Methanobacteriota; Methanomicrobia; Methanosarcinales; Methanosarcinaceae
Source: Rfam
UAUGGCGGCCAUAGUGGUAGGGCAACUCCUGUUCCCAUCCGAACACAGAAGAUAAGUCUACCUACGUUGUUUACUGUACUGAAGUACGAGAGUCUUCGGGAAAUCUGCAUCGCUGCUAUGC